Molecule: ribosomal RNA, 318 nt
Filed under: uncultured bacterium
Lineage: Bacteria
Description: bacterial SSU rRNA
Rfam family: Bacterial small subunit ribosomal RNA
Source: RNAcentral
GAGUUUGAUCUUGGCUCAGGAUGAACGCUGGCGGCGUGCCUAACACAUGCAAGUCGAACGAAGCGAUUCUGCGGAAGUUUUCGGAUGGAAGUAGAAUUGACUAAGUGGCGGACGGGUGAGUAACGCGUGGAUAACCUGCCUCAUACAGGGGGAUAACAGUUAGAAAUGACUGCUAAUACCGCAUAAGCGCACGAAGCUGCAUGGCUUUGUGUGAAAAACUCCGGUGGUAUGGGGAUGGGCCCGCGUCUGAUUAGGCAGGUUGGCGGGGUAACGGCCCACCAAACCGACGAUCAGUAGCCGGCCUGAGAGGGCGGACGG